RNAcentral lists this long non-coding RNA (2411 nucleotides) under Homo sapiens (human). RNAcentral describes it as "HSALNT0016465". Lineage: Eukaryota; Metazoa; Chordata; Mammalia; Primates; Hominidae. The record is from RNAcentral.
ACACACACACACACACACACACACACACACACACACACAAUGGUCAUUGCAGUAUUGUCUAGCAUCCUUGGCUCCUAAAUACCAGGAACCUUCACCACCACCAUCACCACCUCACCCCCCACCCCAACACACACACACACACACACACACACACACACACACACACACACACACAGUGACAACUAAAAAAAAUCCCCCCACAGAUACCCAAAACAUCCCCUAGAGGGCAGUGCACCCUGUUGUUGAGAACUGAUUUAGAAGAAUAAAUGAGGCCUAGGGCCUUCCCAUGAGUUAAGAGGAGAGUUUAGCUUAGCUUCAGGAUAUCCACACCUACUCACUGGUUCUUCCCUGGAAGGAUGAGGGACCAGAGAAGGUACAGAUUUUACCUGUCUAGGUUAUGAGGGACCAAGUGGAUAUGCCUGAGCUCAGCUAAGGGAAGCUCUGCCCUAUAAGCUAGGCUGGACAACAUUCUUGACAACCAAUCUAUUGCCCUUCACUUAUCUAGCCCCUUAUCAGGGUAAUACAAAGGGCUCAGAUUCUGGAGCCAGACUGCCUGAGUUCUGGUCCUAGCUCAAACAUUUAUUUGUUUUGGGCAGGUUAUUUAAUAUUUAUGUGCCUCAGUUUCUUCAUUUAUAAAAUGGGGAUAAUAAUAGUAUCUAUGUCAUAAAGCAGCAAGAAUUAAAUGAGUUAAUAUAUGUAAACGUGCUUAGAAUGGGAUCUGACACACAACUACUUACAAAUCUUAGAUAUUACUAUUAUCAUCACCAUUCAUAUUCUGUAGGUAGCAUAAGGCUGAGGAAUCACCCCAACUUGGGGGUGAGCAUCACUGAAGAUCCUAAGUCUCAUGUAACCUGAGCCAACAAAGAGUUAUGUGCAGGUAAGGAUACUCUCAAGUGAUCUAGUGGGGGUGGCUCCCUUUGCUUCAUGUGGAUUGGUGAGUAAGGAAAGCCUAUGAUGAUGAUGACCAUGAUGAUGAUGAUGAUGAUGAUGAUGAUUGAAGCAUGAUGCUGAGAGGAAGGGUUCACCCUAACCCGAUGACUGCAGGAGAGAAAGAGCCAACAAAGGAAUGAGGAAGCUCUUCCUGCACCCUAGUGAACAGGCUGACUUUCUAAUUAUCUGUGGACUGUGAAUCUCUGCCUUUGUAGAUCUGGAGUCAAAGCUGCCACCUAAACAACCAGAAGGAAAGGCACCAUCUUACACAAAAAGCAAACCUCAGGCCAGGCGCGGUGGCUCAUGCCUGUAAUCCCAGCACUUUGGAAGGCCGAGGUGGGCGGAUCAUGAGGUCAGGAGAUUGAGACCAUCCUGGCUAACACGGUGAAACCCCAUCUCAACAAAAAUGCAAAAUAUUAGCCAGGCCUGGUGGCGGGUGCCUGUAGUCCCAGCUGCUUGGGAGGCUGAGGCAGGAGAAUCGCUUGAACCCGGGAGGCGGAGCUUGCAGUGAGCUGAGAUCACACCACUGCACUCCAGCCUGGGCGACAGAGCCAGACUCUGUCUCAAAAAAAAAAAAAAAAGCAAACCUCCUGACCCCCACCCUCAGUUUUCAGAGGCACAGACAGCAGAGGAGCUACAUUUGCAGAGAAGAUGAUGAAGGAAGACAGCAGCUCACUGGAGAGUGAUUCCUGUGAGGGCAAGUUUUCAGGGACCGAGCACAGCAGGGACAAGGAAGCUGCCAGAAGCCACUCCCACUGCAAACAGUUCCAAAAAUAAGGGAAACUCAGCAAGGGAAAGAGGGUGGAGGGAAUGGCAAAGAGGUGGGCACCGAGGGCAGCUCCCAAAAAGGACAUUAGGGCAGGGAUUAGUUGCAAGAGGAGGAGAUGGAAGAGAUGAAAGUGGAAAGAGCUGACUCUAGAUUGGGGCAAGAUCAAGGGGACAUCAAGGGUCCUACCCAGCAGCAACACUAAGUCUCUGAAAUUAGAAUUGCAGGAUCAUCCAGGGAGCAGAAUCCUUCUACCUUUAGCUGCCUGAAACUUCACCAAGAUGUACAUAUUUGGACUUCAGGAACAUAAUUACAACUAUAUCCCCUGCUUGGAUUGCCAGACCUCUCCCACGUAUAGAUGGGACUAUUAUCCCAGCUCUGCCACCCCUACGCAGUUGAAAAAAAUACCAAAACAGAUAUCAGCGAUAUGGAUGUGAUAUUGUGAUAUAAUAAGAAAUAUAUAUUUGGUUUUCCUCCUUCAGUUUUGGCACAGUGGGUUCCAGCACACAGCUCCUAAAACCCUUAGAAUUUCCUAAGUGAGCCAGGUGCAGUGGUACAUGCCUGUAGUCCCAGUUUCUCAGGAGGCUGAGGUGGGAGGAUUGCACCUGUGAAUAGCCACUGUACUGAAGACUGGGUAACAUAGUGAGACCUUAUCUCUAGAAACAAAUUUUUUAGUUAAAAAAAAUUAAAGAAUAUCCUGAGUGUUAGGAGGGGA